Molecule: unclassified non-coding RNA, 332 nt
Filed under: soil metagenome
Description: partial contains 5.8S ribosomal RNA, internal transcribed spacer 2, and large subunit ribosomal RNA
Rfam family: 5.8S ribosomal RNA (bases 1-120)
Source: RNAcentral
GAUGAAGAACGCAGCGAAAUGCGAUAAGUAAUGUGAAUUGCAGAAUUCAGUGAAUCAUCGAAUCUUUGAACGCACAUUGCGCCCGUCAGUAUUCUGGCGGGCAUGCCUGUUCGAGCGUCAUUUCAACCCUCAAGCACAGCUUGGUGUUGGGACUCGCGUUAAUUCGCGUUCCCCAAAUUGAUUGGCGGUCACGUCGAGCUUCCAUAGCGUAGUAGUAAAACCCUCGUUACUGGUAAUCGUCGCGGCCACGCCGUUAAACCCCAACUUCUGAAUGUUGACCUCGGAUCAGGUAGGAAUACCCGCUGAACUUAAGCAUAUCAAUAAGCGGAGGA